AGACUGUUUGAGCGUAUUUCAAAUUCUAAUGUUUUCCUGUGGAGUUUCGGUUGCGCAUAAUCCGUGAGCACUGUCUGUGAGACGCAUUUUUAUUAUUUGGUAGUUGUCUAGCUUUAACUCGAGAAGGGGGCAUCUACAGAAAUGUCAAAUUAAAUUCUCCAUGGAGUUGUAUUAGUAUGUUGCAGAAGUUGUGUCUGCAACAUGGGUAAAUUCGAAAAUUUGGAGGCGUAUUUUUUUACUUGAAGAGUAAAAUUGUUGGGAUUGUUUUGUUUUAGGUGUCUAACGGGCGAACGAAAUGUCCUACGACAACGAUUCUUUCAUCAAAUUGUGUUUAGCAGGCGAACAAAUUGUCCUAGGACAACGAUUCUUUCAUCAGAUUGUGUCUAACAGGCGAACAAAUUGUCCUAGGACAACGAUUCUUUAAUCAGAUUGUGUCUAGCAGGCGAACAAAUUGUCCUAGGACAACGAUUCUUUCAUCAGAUUGUAUCUAACAGGCGAACAAAUUGUCCUAGGACAACGAUUCUUUAAUCAGAUUGUGUCUAACAGACGAACAAAUUGUCCUAGGACAACGAUUCUUUAAUCAGAUUGUGUCUAGCAGGCGAACAAAUUGUCCUAGGACAACGAUUCUUGCAUUAGAUUGUGUCUAGCAUGCGAACAAAUUGUCCUUGGACAACGAUUCUUGGAUCAGGAUGUGUCUAACAGGCGAACAAAUUGCCCUAGGACAACGAUUCUUUCAUCAGAUUGUAAGUAUUAAAAUUGUUUGUCAUUUACAUGAAUAGUUUCCAUGGUUCAUACAAUGGAAAGUGAAUUAAUUUAGUUGUUUUAAAUAUUAGCAGACGCAUUGCAGAUUUCUUGGUAAUUUAUUUAAAGUUUGUUGUCCUAAAACUAGAGGGCGAUACCAGCGGCUAUCUAUUAUGUUUUGUUCCGCCACACCUAGAUGGCGCUCGUGUCAGCUAUCAUUUUUUUAGUUCCGCAACAGUCAGAUGGCGUUGCCAUCGAUUUGGUUUAAAAUCUUGCUUAAUUUUAGUUUAGUUUUUUGUUUCACUUUUAUACAUAACUUUUAAGUUUAACAAAACAAAAAGUAACCAAA
Long non-coding RNA from Dalotia coriaria, 1090 nucleotides. RefSeq lists it as uncharacterized. The record is from RefSeq and is a predicted model, not a curated record. Lineage: Eukaryota; Metazoa; Arthropoda; Insecta; Coleoptera; Staphylinidae. The transcript has 10 exons.